RNAcentral lists this long non-coding RNA (1635 nucleotides) under Sus scrofa (pig). RNAcentral's name for it is "lncRNA (ENSSSCG00005042974.1)". The record is from RNAcentral. Lineage: Eukaryota; Metazoa; Chordata; Mammalia; Artiodactyla; Suidae.
GUGAUGACCCUGCUGCCUGCCUCUCUCAGGGGGAUCACCUUUGCUAACUGUGGGGGGCAGGGCGUAGUGCUCUAAUGGGGGACAGGGCCUCCCGGUGGGGGCUGACCCCUCUGACUUUGUCCCCCCACUCGGAAGCCACCACCCUUGUCGUUUGCCCUCUGAGUCCUCCUCCCUUGGGCCGCCCCCUGCCCUCUGUCCCUGGGGCCGUGACAUUGGCAGGGUGCCCAGCGGGGCGAAGACGGCAGCUGCAGGUCCUGGUCCCCAGUACGUGUGUGAGUGUGAAUGCGAGUGGGUUGGGAUGGGGGAGCGGCGGGGCUGGGAUCAUCCGCAGAUCAGAGCUCGGGAGUAGAGAGCUUCUAGCGGGUGGGGCCGCCCUACACGCUGGAGCCCGAGGACCUGCCCCUGGGACCACCACCAGCCUCAACACCCCUGGAGGCCAGAGCACGUCGGACAGGCACUGACCAGAGGAGCCUGGGAGGAGCUGCGGGGACAGAUGCGGGUCAUUUGGAGCAAGAGGAGAUGACCUGAGGACCCAUUCCUGGUUCCUGGUAUGCUCGCUGCUGCCUGUCACCCUCCUCUGGGCCUUCGACCUCCUCCUGGUGGUGGAGGGCUCCCGUCUCAUGUCCCAUGAGGAGCCUUUGAGACUGGCAGGACCCCUGGCUGCCUACAACCUGGGCCUGAUGGUUCUCUCGGGGCACAUGUUCUAUGAGAAGCCUUGCUUGCAGCCAACAGUCCAUCAGCUGGUGUGCACUGGGCAUGCGCCUUGUGCCAGGCGGGCUGAAUCCACAGGAUGACCGCUGGUUCAUGGCCACCUCGCUCCUGGCCAGCUACAGCUGCUUCUGCCAGCCGGUGAACUACAGCUGGAAUGGCGAGCGUGUGCUGAUGGUGCUUCUCAAAGGCCAUUGAAUUACUGGUCGCAGGGGGUAAUUCACAGUGGGUGGUCAUCUUCCUAUCACGAAAGGAGUCAGAGCAAAUGAGCUUCCUGCACGUCUACCACCACAGCACCAUGCUCUUCAGAUAGUGGGCUUGGGUCAAAUAUGUGCCAGGGGUCAAGACAUACCUGAGAGGCAAGUGGGAGAAGCUGACCUACAAGGUGGGGCUGAGGACUGAAACUAGCAGAGCCCUCCCCAUGGAGAGUUUGGCGAAAGAUGAUACGGCCCACAGCCCACCCGUGCUGAGCAGAUUCCUCUGGGCAAGUAUUUCAUCCUAUGAGGAAAGGACAAUAACAAUUCUCGCCGCCUUCCCAGAGUUCAGGAGGACAGAACUGGACCCAGCUUCCUGAACGCACAUCUCAUGUGGAUUCGUCACUAUUUGCACACCUCCUUCCUCUACUAAACGUGAGUCCUUCUGAGGAGGGACUGAACUCUCAGUGGUCCCCACCCCUGGCACAGUAUCUCAAUAAAUGUGCAUUUAGACCCCUAUAUUCCCCCAUGGGCAGUCAGGGCUGGGAGCAUGGAGGAAGGCAAGGCUGGUUUGAUCUUCCCCUUGCAGGCAGAGAGGAUGGCUGAGAAUAUCUAAUCUAAGGAGUGUGGGUCUGUGUGAUUUCUCUUGGGGCUAUGCCAACAGUUCCCCUGCACAUCUUUCUGUCUGUUCACUAUUACCUAAGGUGCAUUUACACAGUUGUAUGAUUCUGUG